Molecule: long non-coding RNA, 2349 nt
Organism: Macaca fascicularis (crab-eating macaque)
Lineage: Eukaryota; Metazoa; Chordata; Mammalia; Primates; Cercopithecidae
Source: Ensembl
AUUUUUUUUUUUUUUUGAGACCAGAUUCUCGCUCUGCUGCCCAGGCUGGAGUGCCACGGUGCAAUCUCGGCUAACUGCAACCUCCGCCUCCCAGGUUCCAGUGAUUCUCCUGCCCCGGCCUCCUGAGUAGCUGAGACUAUAGGUAUGCACGACCACACCCGGCUAAUUUUGUAUUUUUAUAGAGACAGGGUUUCGCCCUGGUGCCCAGGCUGGUUUCCAACUUCUGGCCUCAGGUGAUCCACCCACCUCGGCCUCCCAAAAUGCUAGAUUACAGGGGUGAACUGCCAAACCCAGCCAACUUAAGUUUUAAAUUGGAUGUUGAGGAGCGUGUGGAAGACCAGAUAAUUACCUCUAGGUCCAGAAUUUUUGUAGAUUUAUCUACAAAAUAAUUGUUUAAGUCUUUUAAACAAAGGUGUGCCCCUCCUUUGAUCCUGCCAUCAGUGAUCAAUGCAGGUGUAAUGAUUAUAGACUCUAACCCUUCAUUGAAAUAGCAUGUAAGGGGAAGUCUUGGACUUGGAUAAUUAUAGGAUAUUUCCUUAAUAAACCUUAUCUGAUCCUUUUCCGCUAAUAAUUGUAUGUAAUUAUAUUUAUGUGUGAGAACGUUGCAUAUUAAUAGAGACUAGGGCCCUGGGGACUUAAAGAGCUUAGGAAGCAUUUGACUGGAUACGACCAAUCGUUACAUGUCAUGCCAAGUACAUGGGGAGAUAGGAAUUUGUCAAAAAGAAACCAGAGAGUAGGAGAAACCCAACGCUUUCAUUAAUUGAUAAUAUUUUUAUUAGGUUGUUACUUUCAAGUGUCUUUUAGUACUUGCACUUGAAUUUAAAUGUCUGAAAAGGAAUGGGUAUUCAGGAAAAGAAAAGUAAUUACACCCUGUAAUUCUGAUUUAAUUACAAGGAAAUAGAUGUAACAUGAUGUGAUAAAAGUUAUGAUGGGCUCUUUAAAUGAUAUAUGUCAUUAACAUGUUAAUUGGCAUGAAAUCUGAACUCGGAGCCAGAGAAAUCUUAGGUGAAUAUGAGGUCAACUCCAUUACAGGCAGUUUUAUAAUGAAAAUUCCAUAAAAGCAUUUUAAAUUUUACUCUGCAAUGUACGAUUUCCCAUUUAUGUUCAAUACAAUGAAAUUUUAGUCCUGCUGUUUAAAAAAAAGGAAAAGAAAAGGCCAUCCCUGAAAUGCUGGGGUGGUUAGCUGGAACUUGCAAUUGACUAGACACAAAGUCAGGGCUGGAUUAAAUGGGGGAACGUUAUUCUUUUCUCUGCUCAGACACCAGGUCGUAUUCUCAAAAUCCAUUUCUCUCAACAUCUUAGCAUAAUGAUGAAAUAAAAUGCAUGAAGAUUUUGAUUUUUAAAAGACUGCUUUUUCCUCGAAGACUCAUCCCAGGAUCUGUUUAUUUUAUUUAAUUAUAACGUUUUGGCUCGUGGCUGUGGUUAGUAAUAAAAAAUGUAAAGAAUGCAUCCAUUCAGCAGAAGGAAGAAGCGACACUGCCAGAAGAGGGGAAGAUGUCCAGAGCCUGCGAGCCGCAGACCUUCAGCUGGAAAUACUGAAGACUCGUACUUGAAUACGGGGCUAGUUUGACGACUCCACUAUUGAUAUGCUUCGGUAUAAAAGUAUCGGCGUAUUCUCUCAUUCGACACUUCUCAGAGAUGGAAGCGUCUCUGUGUGUGAGCAGCCACAUUGGCACUCCUUCCUCAUGGCAUGUGUACCACAUUCAACACUCGGGUUGGCCUCCAUCAGCAGAGCCAUCCGUGAACAUGAAGGAGGACACAGACCAGAUGUGGAUGCUUCACACAGAGUUCUCUACUCCUCACUUCUUGGUAGACAUUUAUCCUACUUUAAUUCAAAUUAUUUAAAAAGAGAAUGGAUUCCAGGGUAUCUACAUUUGGUAAUAAUCUAAAAAGAAAGAGACUUGGGGAACCUGCAGAGGAGAGAAACUUCAGGUAAAGUGGACAUCAGGAUAGGAGUUGAUUUUUUUUUUUUUUGUAAUCUGUGUGAAUUUCAUUUAUUUAUGGAGUCUCAAUCUAAAAGUGAUUUAAGGUAGUUGUUUUCUAAUUUCAGCUUUUAUUUUCCACCAUGGAAUACUAUGCAGCCAUAAAAAGGAAUGAAAUCUUGUCCUUUGCAGCAACAUAGAUGGAACUGGAGGUCCAUCAUCCUAAGCGAAUUAAUGCAGGAAUGGAAAACCAAAUCCCGCGUGUUCUCAGAACUAGGAGCUAAACACUGAGCACGUAGGGUGGUAACAUGGGAACGACAGACACGGGGAGCUACUAGAGAGUGGGAGGGAAGGGAGCGUGGGAUGACAAACUACCUGUUGGGUACUGUGUCCACUACCUUGGUCCAAUAUACCCAUGUAACAAUCC